Molecule: ribosomal RNA, 445 nt
Filed under: uncultured bacterium
Lineage: Bacteria
Description: partial 16S ribosomal RNA
Rfam family: Bacterial small subunit ribosomal RNA
Source: RNAcentral
GUGAGGAAUAUUGGACAAUGGGCGCAAGCCUGAACCAGCCAAGUCGCGUGAAGGAAGAAGGAUCUAUGGUUCGUAAACUUCUUUUGCAGGGGAAUAAAGUGCAGGACGUGUCCUGUUUUGUAUGUACCCUGAGAAUAAGGAUCGGCUAACUCCGUGCCAGCAGCCGCGGUAAUACGGAGGAUCCGAGCGUUAUCCGGAUUUAUUGGGUUUAAAGGGUGCGUAGGUGGUUUGAUAAGUCAGCGGUGAAAGUUUGCAGCUUAACUGUAAAAAUGCCGUUGAAACUGUCGGACUUGAGUGUAAAUGAGGUAGGCGGAAUGCGUGGUGUAGCGGUGAAAUGCAUAGAUAUCACGCAGAACUCCGAUUGCGAAGGCAGCUUACUAAGCUACAACUGACACUGAAGCACGAAAGCGUGGGGAUCAAACAGGAUUAGAUACCCGGGUAGUCC